Molecule: long non-coding RNA, 220 nt
Filed under: Ananas comosus (pineapple)
Lineage: Eukaryota; Viridiplantae; Streptophyta; Magnoliopsida; Poales; Bromeliaceae
Description: long non-coding RNA (ACOM_LNC025080)
Source: RNAcentral
GAUAAAAUUAAGAGAAUUAUUUAAUAUUUCAUUGUAAUGAUUCACUAGCCUUGUUACUGACCGUCCCUAGAGCAGGUGGCAAAGGGUUUGGUGGUUGGUAUCCGAGACCCAAAUUCGAAUCUAGUUGAUUCACAUUUUCAGCUAAGUUUAUUGUUAAAUAAAAUAAACGAACCGGGUAGCGUGCUACCUAUCUCUUAAAAAAAAAAAAAAACUUGUGCCC